UAAUAAAAAGUAAAAACAAACGUGGUAGAAAUAAAAAGAAAAAUCCAGCUCAAAUUUUGGAAAUGCAAAAGACUCCAGUAAGUUUAUUUCAUAUAUGAAUAUACUUUCUUGGUGAGGAUAUGUUGAAUAGAAGACAUUUUAUAGGCCACAGAGUUGUUAAACCCUUGGGCAGUUCAGAAAAAAAAAACACCAAAAAUAUUAAAACAUGUGAGUGUGUUAUAGACUUUAUUUUUUAGAGCAGUUUUAGGUUCAUAAUAAAAUUAAGCAGAAGCUGUAGAAAUUUGCUAUAUAUCCACCUAACUCUUGCUCCCCUCCCCUUGACAGCCUUUCUCAUUGUCAGCAUCAUGAACCACAGUGGUACCUUUGUUAAUAGUGAUGAACCUACAUUGACACAUCAUAACUCAAAGUCCAGAGUUUAUAUUAGGGUUCAUUCUUAGUGGUAUACAUUCUAUGGGUUUGGACAAAUAUAUAAUGACAUAUAUCUACCAUUGUAGUAUCGUACGGGGAUGUUCAUUGCCCUAAAUAUCCUCUGUGCUCCACCUGUUCAUCUCUACCUCCUCCCAGUAGUCCGGCAACCACUGAUCUUUUCACUGUCUCCAUAGUUUUGCCUUUUUCAGACUUAUACAGUUAAGAUGUGCUUUUACUGUUAUAUUUCAAGUACAUGAAUAAGAAAACAUUAUUAUGUAAGAUUAAUAAGGAUCAAAAUGCUUCAUGAGAUGCUCAUUUUCUGUAUAUGUCUUAUAAUCUCCGGAGUAUUAAAAACAAAUAGUUUUUGGACACAGAGAGAAAAGCAGCUCAUCUCUUUUCAUACCAAAUCAACCCACAGUUUCACAGGAAUAUAACAUAUGUUCUCAAAUUAUUUCAUAGUAGGGAUAAUCCUAUUAAAAACUAAAAUGCCAGCAGUAUGUGUUCCAGAAUUCAAGCUUUACAACAUUAUAAUUUAAUGGGCAUGCCCUGCUUAGUGAGCCCUUAAUCUAACUUGAAAAGAUCACAGCAUAGCUCUGUCAGGGUGGGCUUCAUGCUAUACUAAAAGUAACCAUAAAUUCAUUAAUUUUUUUUACUGGCUUGUGGAAAAGGGACUUAGAUCUUGGCUGCGGUGGGUGGGGGCAGGGAGUGAGAAGCAAGAUUAUGCAGUAUGCGGAGAUUUGAGGUAGAAACUGCACACUAUAAAGAGCAUUCCCUUAAUAAUGCAUGUAAAAAUAUAGGUAGGGUGGUAGGGUAAAUAUGAAAUAAAACUUGUAAGGCAUAUUUUUUUCAAUUCAAUUCAAUUCAGUUAACACCAAAAUAGGCAUUUUUAAGAAUGAACUCUGUUUUAAUCUUAAAGAAAAUUCCAGACAAUCAUAUUAUUUCACCUUGAAAUAUGUCAGUAUGUAUCUCUUAUAAAGAUUUUUUUUAAAAAAAAAAACAUAAUCAUGAUAUCACACCCCAAAAAAUUAGCAAUAAUUUCUUAUUUGUAAGCUUGAAAACAGAUUGAUCAGAGAUAGGGCUUAGGAAAUAAGGUAACAGAAUACAAGAAAACCUUACAAAGGUCUUGACAAAAUUGCUGAAGUCUGGUGUCAGUAUAUAUUAAAUAUACUAGUGCACAUCUUGCUAUAGGUUGUUAUAGGUCAGAGAUGUUUCAACUCCAUUUAAUUGCUAGCGGCUGAUUAGAGAGUUAAGAUUUAGAUAACACUUAUAAAGGCUAGCAUAUGGUCAAAUGUAAUGCAAUUCAGUUAGUAUUACUCUCAUACUUUUAUAUGAGACUUUUAUAAGCUUGACUAUUUUUACAAAUUCUAAUUUAGAUUUAUAUAAAUAUUAAGAUUACAGAUUUUAUUACACAAUUGAAAUCAACACUAAAAAGCUUUAAGUCAUAGAAACUGUAGGCUUUCCUUGUUCAUUAAAAAUAAGCUGUUUGAAUUUCAGAAUGAUUGUUUCAUAUUUGCACAUAAAAGCAAUUGCUAGACUAAGCUUCAUUAUAACUAGAAUGAUGUAGCGGGAAUUUAAGCAGAAAAUGUCUAAGUUUCCUUCUGGCAGUAAAGAUUCACAAUUCUAAAAAAUACUGCUCUUUUAUGUAGAUCAUUUUACAAGAGAUUUACCAGGGAUCUUAUAGGUCAUCUAGCUCAAUCUCAUUUUCAAUGCAGGGAAACCCUACUCAACAUGAUAUUAAUACUUUAUAAUUAACACUAAGUUUUGAUACCAAAAUCAACUCAUGCUAGCCUUGUCUGUUCUAAUUUAAAGGUUCUUGAUUUGUUUAGCAGUCUAAUUCGGCUCUAGUAUUUUUUAAUAUGCCCGGAUUCUGAUUUCUUAAGUAUUGACUACGACUGAUUUCUCCAGGUCAAUGUUUCUGACCCUGAUCUGCUAAUAGUGCCCUAAUCCUAGGUUGCUUCUUGUAGCUCAUGGCUUGUUUUUCUUCCUCCCAGCUUACAAAGAAGAAUCUGAGCCUCUUCCCUGAACAUUCAGGCUUUCAAUGUACCAUAUAAAAAAAUGAAGUAAACUUAACCCAUUUAAAUUAUGGUUCUCAGGGUACUGUGGGAUAGUUUAAAUUUUCAAAGAAAAUACAGCUUUGUUGAAUAUCUGUUGGAUACCACACAGACUACUAGAUGAGACAGUUCACAGUUUCAACAGUAGAUCACACUACAUUAAUUUUAUUGACAUCAUAUUUUUUGCAAAGUUGGAUUUUUAGUAGUUGCUGUAAUAGAAAGCCAUUCUUAGAAUCACUGUGGAACAGAACAUGAAGAGCAGUGUCCAAUCUGAUCCUAUUGUUUGAGAAGUUAUGAAGUCCACAACAGAAGCAUAUAUUACAUUUAGAAAAUUCAAAAGAACAAUGGGCUGACUGAGAAUUGAGAGAUCAGGAAGCUGGCCCUGCUUUGCCACUAACAAAAUGUAUGUAUGACUGGGCAUUUCACUUAUUCGGGUCUCUGUGGUAGGCAGCAUCUAAGGUACUUCCCAAUGGUCCUCCCUCCUGUAUUCACACCUUUGUGUAAUCCUCUCCCCUUCAUUAUAGGCUGAACCUAGUGACUCACUUCAAAUGAGCAGAAUAUAGUAAAGGGGAUGGGAUGUCACUUCCAAGUCUGUUUAAGUUAUAAACAGACUGUGAAUUCCCUCUUUGGCUUGCUUUCUCCAUGGCACACUCUGAGGGAAGCCAACUGCGAUGCUCUCAGCUGCCCUACAGAGAGGCCCGUAGCAACUAAUGCUCCCAGUGAACAGCCAGUGAGGAUCUGAGACCCUCAUUCCAACAGUACUUGAACAGGAUCCUGCUAACAGACAUGUAAAUGGACUUGGAAGUGGGUCCUCUCCAAGUUGAGCCUUGUGAUGAGACCACAGCCCAGCCUACACACUGACUGUGUAGCCUUGUGAGAGGCUCUGAGCCAGAGGGCCCACCUAAGCCAUCCCAGGAUUGCUGGACCACAGAAACUGUGAGAUAAUAAAUACUCGCUGUAUAAACCA
RNAcentral lists this long non-coding RNA (3426 nucleotides) under Homo sapiens (human). RNAcentral describes it as "HSALNT0321273". The record is from RNAcentral. Lineage: Eukaryota; Metazoa; Chordata; Mammalia; Primates; Hominidae.